GACGAACGCUGGCGGCGUGCUUAACACAUGCGAGUCGAACGGAAAGGCCCUGCUUUUGUGGGGUGCUCGAGUGGCGAACGGGUGAGUAACACGUGAGUAACCUGCCCUUGACUUUGGGAUAACUUCAGGAAACUGGGGCUAAUACCGGAUAGGAGCUCCUGCUGCAUGGUGGGGGUUGGAAAGUUUCGGCGGUUGGGGAUGGACUCGCGGCUUAUCAGCUUGUUGGUGGGGUAGUGGCUUACCAAGGCUUUGACGGGUAGCCGGCCUGAGAGGGUGACCGGCCACAUUGGGACUGAGAUACGGCCCAGACUCCAACGGGAGGCAGCAGUGGGGAAUAUUGCACAAUGGGCGGAAGCCUGAUGCAGCAACGCCGCGUGCGGGAUGACGGCCUUCGGGUUGUAAACCGCUUUCGCCUGUGACGAAGCGUGAGUGACGGUAAUGGGUAAAGAAGCACCGGCUAACUACGUG
RNAcentral lists this ribosomal RNA (468 nucleotides) under uncultured bacterium. RNAcentral's name for it is "partial 16S ribosomal RNA". It matches the Rfam family "Bacterial small subunit ribosomal RNA", at positions 28 to 507 of the family's 1533-position model. The record is from RNAcentral.